GGGGGGGGGGGGGGGGGGGGGGGGGGGGGGGGGGGGGGGGGGGGGGGGGGGGCGGUGGGGGGGUGCGCGGGGGGCGAGCGGGGGAGUGGCACGGGAGGGCCCUGCCCGUGGCUGGGGGAGAGCGUCCGGGAACGGGGGCUAAUACCGGAUAGGAGCUCCUGCUGCCUGGGGGGGGGUGGAACGGUUCGGCGGUGGGGGAUGGACUCGCGGCUUAUCAGCUUGUUGGUGGGGGAGUGGCUUACCAAGGCUUUGACGGGUAGCCGGCCUGAGAGGGUGACCGGCCACAUUGGGACUGAGAUACGGCCCAGACUCCUACGGGAGGCAGCAGUGGGGAAUAUUGCACAAUGGGCGGAAGCCUGAUGCAGCAACGCCGCGUGCGGGAUGACGGCCUUCGGGUUGUAAACCGCUUUCGCCUGUGACGAAGCGUGAGUGACGGUAAUGGGUAAAGAAGCACCGGCUAACUACGUG
RNAcentral lists this ribosomal RNA (468 nucleotides) under uncultured bacterium. Its description in RNAcentral is "partial 16S ribosomal RNA". The stretch from base 51 to 468 matches the Rfam family "Bacterial small subunit ribosomal RNA", at positions 38 to 507 of the family's 1533-position model. The record is from RNAcentral.